AAGAUUCUGGGAGAGCUUUUGUAUGGUGAAAGCUGACAAAGGACAGUGCAGCUUUUUAUUGGACAGCCUUUAGACUAAAGAAAAUUUUCAAGGGAACAUUUCUUAGGGUUAGAAUUUGCAGUAACAGAUGUGAAACCCUAGCAGUAGUGUGAUGUCCUUGUAUGAUACUGCAAUCAGAA
Grammomys surdaster is the source of this 179-nucleotide non-coding RNA. RefSeq annotates it as small Cajal body-specific RNA 16. NCBI's taxonomy places the organism in Eukaryota, Metazoa, Chordata, Mammalia, Rodentia, Muridae. The transcript has a single exon. The record is from RefSeq and is a predicted model, not a curated record.